AACUCGGCCAUUUAGAGGAAGUACAAGUCGUAACAAGGUUUCCGUAGGUGAACCUGCGGAAGGAUCAUGUUGUCCAAGGCUGCCGCCCCCGGUAUGCGCCCCGAGGCUGCGACCGGCGGGUAGGCCAUCCAAACCUUAGACCGUGCCUUUGGCACGUUAAAUGGACCGAGAGCGUCGCUCCGGCCGUGUGGCUCUGGCCACGCUUUUAAACAUCCGAGUAGAACUAUGUUUGGUUGAAAAUCUACAACCAGUAGCACUGGAUCCCUUGGCACGUCAUUCGAUGAAGAACGUAGCAAUCUGCGAUAAGUGGUGAGAUAUGCAAGUCCACAGCUUAUACGUGAACCAUCGAAUCUUUGAACGCACUGCACUAUCCGGACGACACCCCCGUGAUAGUAUGCCCCGUUGAGCGUUAUUUGUCCCUUCAGACACCGUCAUGUUCAUGCAUGCUGGUGGAUGAGUUCGAGGUUCACGUCUUUUGGGUGCGUUCCUUGAGAUGGAUUAGCAACCGGUCAAAUGGAAGCCCCAUCCUGUGAUGAUUUUGCAGGCCGAGGUGCCAUUGAAAUGGUCGGUGCUGACAGUUGCCUCCUGGCAAACCUGGCACGCUGUGCCCUCGCUUUGAACAUAACCCCAGUGGGGUAGGAGUACCCGCUAGACUUAAGCAUAUUAAUCAGCGGAGGAAAAGAAACUAACAAGGAUUCCCCUAGUAAC
This 708-nucleotide ribosomal RNA is filed under the name uncultured Tulasnellaceae. RNAcentral's name for it is "eukaryotic LSU rRNA". The stretch from base 246 to 412 matches the Rfam family "5.8S ribosomal RNA". Lineage: Eukaryota; Fungi; Basidiomycota; Agaricomycetes; Cantharellales; Tulasnellaceae. The record is from RNAcentral.